CAGACGGGUGAGUAACGCGUGGGAACGUGCCCUUCGGUUCGGAAUAACUCAGGGAAACUUGAGCUAAUACCGGAUACGCCCUUUUGGGGAAAGGCUUGACUGCCGAAGGAUCGGCCCGCGUCUGAUUAGCUGGUUGGUGAGGUUACGGCUCACCAAGGCGACAAUCAGUAGCUGGUCUGAAAGGAUGAUCAGCCACACUGGGACUGAAACACGGCCCAAACUCCUACGGGAGGCAGCAGUGGGGAAUAUUGGACAAUGGGGGCAACCCUGAUCCAGCCAUGCCGCGUGAGUGAUGACGGCCUUAGGGUUGUAAAGCUCUUUUCUCCGGGACGAUAAUGACGGUACCGGAGGAAUAAGCCCCGGCUAACUUCGUGCCAGCAGCCGCGGUAAUACAAAGGGGGCUAGCGUUGCUCGGAAUCACUGGGCGUAAAGGGCGCGUAGGCGGCUGAUUUAGUCAAGGGUGAAAGCCCGUGGCUCAACCACGGAAUGGCCUUCGAUACUGGUUGGCUUGAGACCGGAAAAGGACAGCGGAACUGCGAGUGUAAAGGUGAAAUUCGUAAAUAUUCGCAAGAACACCAGUGGCGAAGGCGGCUGUCUGGUCCGGUUCUGACGCUGAGGCGCGAAAGCGUGGGGAGCAAACAGGAUUAGAUACCCUGGUAGUCCACGCUGUAAACGAUGAAUGCUAGCCGUUGGGGUGCAUGCACCUCAGUGGCGCCGCUAACGCAUUAAGCAUUCCGCCUGGGGAGUACGGUCGCAAGAUUAAAACUCAAAGGAAUUGGACGGGGGCCCGCACAAGCGGUGGAGCAUGUGGUUUAAUUCGAAGCAACGCGCAGACCCUUACCAUCCCUUGACAUGGCGUGUUAUCCCGGAGAGAUCCGGGGUCCCCUUCGGGGGGCGCGCACACAGGUGCUGCAUGGCUGUCGUCAGCUCGUGUCGUGGAGAUUGUUGGUUAAGUCCCGCACGGAGCGCAACCCACGUCCUAGUGCCAUUCAUUUGGUGGCCACUCUGGGGAGACUGCCG
RNAcentral lists this ribosomal RNA (1020 nucleotides) under Methylobacterium sp. ATHA7. RNAcentral describes it as "bacterial SSU rRNA". It matches the Rfam family "Bacterial small subunit ribosomal RNA", at positions 99 to 1154 of the family's 1533-position model. The record is from RNAcentral. Lineage: Bacteria; Pseudomonadati; Pseudomonadota; Alphaproteobacteria; Hyphomicrobiales; Methylobacteriaceae.